AGCACAUGCAUGAUCGAACGUGUGCCUCUCGCGUACAGAGGCAAACGGGUGCGUAACGCGUAAGCAACCUGCCCUCAACUGGGGGAUAGCCCGGCGAAAGCUGGGGUAAACCCGCACGGUCCCUUUCUAUCACCUGGUAGGAUGGGUAAACAUUAAUGGGUUGAGGAGGGGCUUGCGUCUGAUUAGCUAGUUGGCAGGGUAACGGCCUACCAAGGCGAUGAUCAGUAGGGGUUCUGAGAGGAUUGGCCCCCACAUGGGUACUGAGAUACGGACCCAACUCCUACGGGAGGCAGCAGUAGGGAAUAUUGGGCAAUGGGCGAGAGCCUGACCCAGCCAUGCCGCGUGCCGGAUGAAGGCGCUCAGCGUUGUAAACUUCUUUUAUCGGGGAAGAAUAAGGUGUACGUGUACACUGAUGACGGUACCUGCAGAAUAAGCACCGGCUAACUCCGUGCCAGCAGCCGCGGUAAU
Molecule: ribosomal RNA, 468 nt
Filed under: uncultured bacterium
Lineage: Bacteria
Description: bacterial SSU rRNA
Rfam family: Bacterial small subunit ribosomal RNA
Source: RNAcentral